This 370-nucleotide transfer-messenger RNA is filed under the name Ellagibacter isourolithinifaciens. RNAcentral's name for it is "Standard tmRNA". It matches the Rfam family "transfer-messenger RNA". Rfam says of the family: Bacterial tmRNA, also known as 10Sa RNA or SsrA, is named for its dual tRNA and mRNA-like properties. Its role is to liberate the mRNA from a stalled ribosome. The record is from Rfam by way of RNAcentral. Lineage: Bacteria; Bacillati; Actinomycetota; Coriobacteriia; Eggerthellales; Eggerthellaceae.
GGGGGCGACUGGUUUCGACAUGGUAUGUUUGAACUGAGGAGCAGGUCGUGGUCUCCUCGCCACGUAAAACAGGGGUAACGUCAAGUUAAUUGGCAAGAAGAACUAUCAGAGCGCUCCUGCGCUCGCCAUGGCUGCUUAAUCAGCACCUGGCACGUCAACCCCGAGUUGUCCCCGACUCGGGUGCGACGUCAUUUUAGGGGACUGCAUCAAAGCACGUAAUCGGUAUGGCUUUGGUAAAGAUCGAACCGAUCCGGGUCGGCAACGUUAGUUCGCGGACCGAGACGGCCUUGAACCUGAACGCGAAAUAAGCUUGUAGAGCCUCAGCGAGAAUAUAGUAUGGACCGGAGUUCGAUUCUCCGCGCCUCCACCA